UACGAAGGGGGCUAGCGUUGCUCGGAUUGACUGGGCGUAAAGGGCGCGUAGGCGGUUCGUACAGUCAGACGUGAAAUUCCUGGGCUCAACCUGGGGGCUGCGUUUGAUACGUGCGGACUUGAGUGCGGAAGAGGGUCGUGGAAUUCCCAGUGUAGAGGUGAAAUUCGUAGAUAUUGGGAAGAACACCGGUGGCGAAGGCGGCGACCUGGUCCGAUACUGACGCUGAGGCGCGAAAGCCAGGGGAGCAAACGGG
RNAcentral lists this ribosomal RNA (253 nucleotides) under uncultured bacterium. Its description in RNAcentral is "partial 16S ribosomal RNA". It matches the Rfam family "Bacterial small subunit ribosomal RNA", at positions 524 to 776 of the family's 1533-position model. The record is from RNAcentral.